GAUGAACGCUGGCUGUGUGCCUAAUACAUGCAUGUCGAGCGAAGCACUUUUGUGCUUAGCGGCGAAUGGGUGAGUAACACGUACUUAACCUACCCUCAAGAUUGGGACAACACUUGGAAACGAGUGCUAAUACCAAAUACGUAUUUUUAUCGCAUGAUAGAUAUAUAAAAGGAGCUUCGGCUUCACUAGAGGAUGGGAGUGCGCUACAUUAGUUAGUUGGUAGGGUAAUGGCCUACCAAGACUAUGAUGUAUAGCGGGGCCGAGAGGCUGAUCCGCCACACUGGGACUGAGAUACGGCCCAGACUCCUACGGGAGGCAGCAGUAGGGAAUUUUCCACAAUGAACGAAAGUUUGAUGGAGCGACACAGCGUGCAGGAUGAAGGUCUUCGGAUUGUAAACUGCUGUUAUAAGAGAAGAAAAACCCUGGUAGGUAAUGACCAGGACUUGACGGUACCUUAUCAGAAAGCGACGGCUAACUAUGUGCCAGCAGCCGCGGUAAUACAUAGGUCGCAAGCGUUAUCCGGAAUUAUUGGGCGUAAAGAGUUCGUAGGUGGUUUUGUAAGUCUGAAGUUAAAUACCGGGGCUCAACCCCGGCCCGCUUUGGAUACUGCAAAACUAGAGUAAUAGAGAGGUUAGUGGAACUCCAAGUGAAGCGGUGGAAUGCGUAGAUAUUUGGAAGAACACCAAUGGCGAAGGCAACUAACUGGAUAUUAACUGACACUGGGGAACGAAAGCGUGGGUAGCAAACAGG
RNAcentral lists this ribosomal RNA (750 nucleotides) under uncultured bacterium. RNAcentral's name for it is "bacterial SSU rRNA". It matches the Rfam family "Bacterial small subunit ribosomal RNA", at positions 28 to 776 of the family's 1533-position model. The record is from RNAcentral.